CUGGGUUUUCCCAUGAGAGAAUGGAUCCCAGAGGGGAGGCGGCAGUGGCUGCAUCUGAGCCCAUGCUGCCCGGAUUGCUUGUGUGGUGUCCGCCGCUGCCUCCUGUCCCUCUUCAUGAGGAUGUUCCAGUGAGAUACCCCCAGCCCAC
This is a long non-coding RNA of Perognathus longimembris pacificus (Pacific pocket mouse), 148 nucleotides long. RefSeq lists it as uncharacterized. NCBI's taxonomy places the organism in Eukaryota, Metazoa, Chordata, Mammalia, Rodentia, Heteromyidae. The record is from RefSeq and is a predicted model, not a curated record. The transcript is spliced from 3 exons.